Molecule: transfer RNA, 74 nt
Filed under: Podarcis lilfordi (Lilford's wall lizard)
Lineage: Eukaryota; Metazoa; Chordata; Lepidosauria; Squamata; Lacertidae
Description: tRNA.Ile
Source: RNAcentral
GUACAGAUAGCUCAGUUGCUUAGAGCAUGGUGCUGAUAAUGCCAAGGUUGCAGGUUUGAUCCCCAUAUGGGACA